UCGGAAGGCAGCAGUGGGGAAUAUUGCACAAUGGGCGAAAGCCUGAUGCAGCUAUGCCGCGUGUAUGAAGAAGGCCUUAGGGUUGUAAAGUACUUUCAUCGGGGAGGAAAAACAAAACUAAUAAUUUUAUUUCUUGACGUUACCCGAAAAAGAAGCACCGGCUAACUCCGUGCCAGCAGCCGCGGUAAUACGGAGGGUGCUAGCGUUAAUCAGAAUUACUGGGCGUAAAGAGCACGUAGGUGGUUUUUUUAAGUCAGAUGUGAAAUCCCUGGGCUUAACCUAGGAACUGCAUUUUGAAACUGAAAUACUAGAGUAUCGUAGAGGGAGGUAGAAUUCUAGGUGUAGCGGUGAAAUGCGUAGAUAUCUGGAGGAAUACCUGUGGCGAAAGCGGCCUCCUAAACGAAUACUGACACUGAGGUGCGAAAGCGUGGGGAGCAAACAGGGAUUAGAUACC
RNAcentral lists this ribosomal RNA (454 nucleotides) under uncultured bacterium. RNAcentral describes it as "bacterial SSU rRNA". It matches the Rfam family "Bacterial small subunit ribosomal RNA", at positions 341 to 786 of the family's 1533-position model. The record is from RNAcentral.